GCCUUGGCCGUCCGCGGGUUUCCUGUAUUGCAUACCUACACGAAGGAAUUCGGGUGUCCCAACGUUUAACGUUCUCCUAGUGCCGCCCCCGCAAGGGCGCGGCGUGAGGUGAACCGCGAAGGCAAAUUCGUGGUCCAAGACAAUCGCAGCACGCGUUGUUGCUUUGGCCCACGAAGUGCAGCCUGAGCUCUCGGAUGCGGAAUACCGUGAGGGCAGGAGGUCGCGGCCUCCGUGUGCCCACGCUCGGCGUUAAUCGCUCCCAUCGAACGACUACCGUCGUCGUCUUGAGAAGUCAUGACCUUCGGGCGUGUCGUCCACAAGCGACGUCGGUGUCUGUGAGGAA
This 343-nucleotide unclassified non-coding RNA is filed under the name Ixora nitens. RNAcentral describes it as "contains 5' external transcribed spacer, ETS". The record is from RNAcentral. Lineage: Eukaryota; Viridiplantae; Streptophyta; Magnoliopsida; Gentianales; Rubiaceae.